RNAcentral lists this ribosomal RNA (691 nucleotides) under Lutibacter sp. Its description in RNAcentral is "bacterial SSU rRNA". It matches the Rfam family "Bacterial small subunit ribosomal RNA", at positions 28 to 710 of the family's 1533-position model. The record is from RNAcentral. Lineage: Bacteria; Pseudomonadati; Bacteroidota; Flavobacteriia; Flavobacteriales; Flavobacteriaceae.
GAUGAACGCUAGCGGCAGGCUUAACACAUGCAAGUCGAGGGGUAACAGGGAAGAGCUUGCUUUUCUGCUGACGACCGGCGCACGGGUGCGUAACGCGUAUAGAACCUACCUUUUACAGGGGAAUAGCCCAGAGAAAUUUGGAUUAAUGCCCCAUAGUAUUAUUGAAUGGCAUCAUUUAAUAAUUAAACAUUUAUGGGUAAAAGAUGGCUAUGCGUUCUAUUAGCUAGAUGGUAAGGUAACGGCUUACCAUGGCAACGAUAGAUAGGGGUCCUGAGAGGGAGAUCCCCCACACUGGUACUGAGACACGGACCAGACUCCUACGGGAGGCAGCAGUGAGGAAUAUUGGACAAUGGAGGCAACUCUGAUCCAGCCAUGCCGCGUGCAGGAAGACGGUCCUAUGGAUUGUAAACUGCUUUUAUAUAGGAAGAAACCUUUCCACGUGUGGAAAGCUGACGGUACUAUAAGAAUAAGCACCGGCUAACUCCGUGCCAGCAGCCGCGGUAAUACGGAGGGUGCAAGCGUUAUCCGGAAUCAUUGGGUUUAAAGGGUCCGUAGGCGGACUAAUAAGUCAGGGGUGAAAUCCAACAGCUUAACUGUUGAACUGCCUUUGAUACUGUUAGUCUUGAGUUAUAUGGAAGUAGAUAGAAUAUGUAGUGUAGCGGUGAAAUGCUUAGAGAUUACAUAGAAUACC